AGGACUAUAGCUCAGCUGGUUAGAGCACCACCUUGACAUGGUGGGGGUCGCUGGUUCGAAUCCAGUUAGUCCUACCA
This 77-nucleotide transfer RNA is filed under the name Marinobacterium sediminicola. RNAcentral's name for it is "tRNA_Val_GAC". It matches the Rfam family "tRNA". From Rfam's summary of the family: Transfer RNA (tRNA) molecules are approximately 80 nucleotides in length. Their secondary structure includes four short double-helical elements and three loops (D, anti-codon, and T loops). The record is from RNAcentral. Lineage: Bacteria; Pseudomonadati; Pseudomonadota; Gammaproteobacteria; Oceanospirillales; Oceanospirillaceae.